The sequence is a ribosomal RNA, 573 nucleotides long. It matches the Rfam family "Eukaryotic large subunit ribosomal RNA", at positions 79 to 667 of the family's 3401-position model.
CUCAGUAACGGCGAGUGAAGCGGCAAAAGCUCAAAUUUGAAAUCUAGCACCUUCGGUGUUCGAGUUGUAAUUUGAAGAUGGUAACCUUGGGUUUGGCUCUUGUCUAUGUUCCUUGGAACAGGACGUCAUAGAGGGUGAGAAUCCCGUCUGAUGAGAUGCCCAUUCCUAUGUAAGGUGCUAUCGAAGAGUCGAGUUGUUUGGGAAUGCAGCUCUAAGUGGGUGGUAAAUUCCAUCUAAAGCUAAAUAUUGGCGAGAGACCGAUAGCGAACAAGUACAGUGAUGGAAAGAUGAAAAGAACUUUGAAAAGAGAGUGAAAAAGUACGUGAAAUUGUUGAAAGGGAAGGGCAUUAGAUCAGACUUGGUGUUUUACGAUUAUCUUCUCUUCUUGAGUUGUGCACUCGUAUUUCACUGGGCCAGCAUCGAUUCGGAUGGUAAGAUAAUGACAGUUGAACGUGGCUCCAUUCGUGGAGUGUUAUAGCUUCUGUUGAUAUUGCCUGUCUGGAUCGAGGGCUGCGUCUUUUGACUAGGAUGCUGGCGUAAUGAUCUAAUGCCGCCCGUCUUGAAACACGGACC